CGCGUAGGCGGUUUGUUAAGUCAGCUGUGAAAGCCCCGGGCUUAACCUGGGAAUUGCAGUUGAUACUGGCCGACUAGAGUACGAGAGAGGGAGGUAGAAUUCCACGUGUAGCGGUGAAAUGCGUAGAUAUGUGGAGAAUACCGGUGGCGAAGGCGGCCUCCUGGCUCGAUACUGACGCUGAGGUGCGAAAGCGGUGGGGAGACAAACA
RNAcentral lists this ribosomal RNA (208 nucleotides) under uncultured bacterium. Its description in RNAcentral is "partial 16S ribosomal RNA". It matches the Rfam family "Bacterial small subunit ribosomal RNA", at positions 568 to 774 of the family's 1533-position model. The record is from RNAcentral.